AUCGAGACUAGAGUCACAUCUAGAUAUUGUCAGUUAUCAUGGUGUGCUAUAGUACUCGAAGAGCAAUAACUGACCUUUAUUCACUGACUGCCCUAUUCAUAGUUCAGUCAGCCACCAGGUUAGUAACAAAA
Podarcis muralis (Common wall lizard) is the source of this 131-nucleotide small nucleolar RNA. Ensembl annotates it as small nucleolar RNA SNORA3/SNORA45 family. The record is from Ensembl. NCBI's taxonomy places the organism in Eukaryota, Metazoa, Chordata, Lepidosauria, Squamata, Lacertidae.